UGAGGUUUAUCUCUGGGGACUCCAGAAGCUGCUUUUGUACCUCCAAGACCCGAUUAUAGCCGGCCUUUUGCUUGCGUUCCUUACCCUUAUGCUGAUCCAAGCUUCGUUGGCAUGCUGGCUGCAUAUGGGUCACAUGCAAUUGUAUGUAUUAUUGAGCAUGUUCUUCCUUUUAGUUGUCUAAUUUUUUUUAUAUUAGUUGCAGCUCAAUCAGUAUUUUAAUAGGAUGGACAAAAGUUGGAUAAAUAAGUCGAGAUCCAGUGCCGAACCAAGAAAAUUUGCAGUUUCAGCUUACGAAUAUUUCAUCUUUGUUACAACGAUUUCUCCCUUCUCAGAUUCCUGAUACUUCAAAUGCUCACAGAGAUGAUGAUGAUGGAGCUGAAUCCCGUCCCUGAUACUUUGUAGAUUGUUUUUUUAUGGAGUUUGAUAUGUAUAUAUUUUUUAUAUUUUCAAAGUACAUUGUAAUUCAUAACUUUUUAUGU
This is a non-coding RNA of Phoenix dactylifera (date palm), 479 nucleotides long. The record is from RefSeq and is a predicted model, not a curated record. Lineage: Eukaryota; Viridiplantae; Streptophyta; Magnoliopsida; Arecales; Arecaceae.